CGGGACGGGGUGGAGUUAAUGUCGUAGGGAAACUGCCCGAUGGAGGGGGAUAACUACUGGAAACGGUAGCUAAUACCGCAUAACGUCGCAAGACCAAAGAGGGGGACCUUCGGGCCUCUUGCCAUCGGAUGUGCCCAGAUGGGAUUAGCUAGUAGGUGGGGUAACGGCUCACCUAGGCGACGAUCCCUAGCUGGUCUGAGAGGAUGACCAGCCACACUGGAACUGAGACACGGUCCAG
RNAcentral lists this ribosomal RNA (238 nucleotides) under uncultured bacterium. Its description in RNAcentral is "partial 16S ribosomal RNA". It matches the Rfam family "Bacterial small subunit ribosomal RNA", at positions 104 to 334 of the family's 1533-position model. The record is from RNAcentral.